Puntigrus tetrazona (Sumatra barb) is the source of this 494-nucleotide long non-coding RNA. RefSeq lists it as uncharacterized. The record is from RefSeq and is a predicted model, not a curated record. NCBI's taxonomy places the organism in Eukaryota, Metazoa, Chordata, Actinopteri, Cypriniformes, Cyprinidae. The transcript is spliced from 3 exons.
CUUGGUGCCGCCGCGCUGGAUGAUCUCGACGUCUUCGGUACAGAUGAAGCCGUUCAGCUGGAGAUUGUCCAGAAUGCACUGCGUGUUCUUCACCUGCUCCACCAGCAGCUCGCGGUGUGACGUCAGCAGCCUCAGGGGCUCUUUCUAAAGACUGUACCUGUAGAUACUGCGGCGAAGGUGGUGCAUAAACGCAGCUGUUCAUGAUGUACGUCCGACAGCUCAGGUCCUGUCCGCUGGUGGAGACGUUGACCUCCACUGGACUGUAGGUGCCCAUUUUCACGUUCUCCUGCCUGCAGAGGAACGUCCAGCACACAUGAGGAGCUUUCUGACGAGAUCUCGGACUAAAACAUAUACUGAGUGCCGUUUGGGGUCUACCUGUCGAGGGACUCCAGGUCUGACAUGUUCAUCCUCCACACGACGCCCCAGACCUCGUCCCCGGGGCUGUGUUCGAUGGUGGCGACCCCUCCGUGCCAGCGCUGACUCGCCAGUCCUUU